CAACAGGGUCUGCAGCACAAGACUAGCCAAAAAAGCAAAAUAAUGGCUUGCAACAAUCCUGGAUCUGGAAGAGAUUAUGAUGACAAAGAAGUCUGGAAUAAACAAGAAACCUCAGAACCACCAUAACUGUGUCUGCUACAAUGUGUGUUCUUGCAGCCAGCUGAUUGAUUCAUUUUAUCAACUCUUGAAUGGUUGAUUAUCAGAACUGAAUUCAGAGCUGCUCCUGUCUGUAGUAUCAUUAUUAGAGUGGACUUCAGAAUGAGGGCGUUGCUUGUUUAAAAACUUCACUCCAUGAAGCUCUCCAAAUUCACCUCAAAUUAGACUGCUUCUGGAAACCAGAUUUGUUCCUUCAAGCAGAAACGCUUGUGGCUUUCCUGACUGGACUUCUAUGGAUUCUUCAUGCCAACCUUAAGGACUGUGGUCUUCUGCAUGAUACACGUCAAUUUCAAACAAGACAUUCUGUGGUGAAACACUUGAUGUACCGGUAGAUGAUAUGAAAUUUUAUUUCAUAUAACUGAAUCUCAGAAGUAAUUCCUCGGGAGCAAGAAACAUUGAAAAAAAUAAAAUAAAAGGUCCAUCAUUAAUGAAUGUCUUGAGCAGUGUUCUUUUUUGUGCACAGAUCAAUGGAUCUUUUCAAGUCCAAGCAGGGAUGUAGUCAAUGCUGACCUCGAUGCAACAUUUUGCUGGCCUUGGUCCGAGUCACUGUACAGAAUCUAUGGGAAGUUAUCUCAAGCUGCCUCAUGACUCGGAAGAAUCAGCCUCGACCUCAUCCCUGUAUGCAAGUGUGAUAUAUAUCUACGAUGCAAUCUCAUGAUUAAAGAGAGAGAAACAAGAGAGCUUCAGAUUUUGAAGUGUAGCAAUCUCCUGAAAUGUAUGUUUUAUUUGAAAAUCAAACUAAAAUAACUUAAUUGGGCAUGUUAUUCAUUAUGAUAUGUAUGAAUGAAAGCAUUUAAGCAAUUUAGUGCUCUUGCAAAACAAAUUCUGAGUUGUAUUAUUUUACUGCAAACCCUCAGACAUAUUGAUAAGCAUUUGCCAGUGCAUGAAGUGUUUUAAUAAAGAGUGGCUUUUGUGCCUAUGGAGAGUUAUUAUUUUUUCAAUAUUUCUUCAUACGAAUUAUUUCAGAAAUCACAAUUUGAAUAUUCCAUGACCUCUGAUAACAAGAGCAGAAUAUUUUUGGUGAUUGACACACUUUGAAAUGAUAUUAGGAGAGAAUGUAGUAAAGUUGUGUGAAAAUAAUGGCAUAAUUGCUGUAGAGGCCUACGAAGAUUGAAAAUAACAUUAUUUUAAGUUUUUCUUGAAAAAACCUAUGGAAAAUUGAAAAUGGCAUAAUUUACACAAGUUUUCC
Molecule: long non-coding RNA, 1345 nt
Organism: Lytechinus pictus (painted urchin)
Lineage: Eukaryota; Metazoa; Echinodermata; Echinoidea; Temnopleuroida; Toxopneustidae
Exons: 3
Source: RefSeq, a predicted model, not a curated record